GGGGACUUUCCGUUUUGAUUUUUUCUCGGAGUUCAGUAUUUUUGUGAUUUUCUUUUUUCCACCAAAAGAGUAUUAGUUUCAAAAACAGAAGUAUCUACAAAAUAAAAAUUUCACAAAACAUAGCAUCAAGGUAUAGAUCUCUGUUACUGGGAAAAGUGUAGUUGCACGAGAAGCACGUGUAGUGUGGGAAAAUAUUAAAUAGCUUUGGCCUUCCAGGUUAUCUAUCUGAGUUAUUUCAGAAGCACGUUACUAUCGAUCAGUCGUUACCCUGCUGAUUGACUUUCUAAGUCUAUAUUCUUCAGUGUAAGCUGGUACCAUUAGUCAGUGUUUCAUUACAUUUUGUUCAUUAUUUUUUUGUUAUUUUUUUGGUUAUUACGACAACAAAGGAUAUCAGUAAUUGACUUAAUUCUAAAUCGUCCUAUAAGUAAAAAUGCUACAAUAAUUGAAAUUCGUCGUAUUUUCUUUAUAAGAGAGUUUGAUAAUUUAUAGAUUAAAGAGGUCUGCGAAUAGUUUGUAGAGGACAGCAUUUGUACUAAGAUGUGUUUGUUCUCACACAUUUUAUGAUGAAUUGUAGAAAU
RNAcentral lists this long non-coding RNA (578 nucleotides) under Mytilus galloprovincialis (Mediterranean mussel). Lineage: Eukaryota; Metazoa; Mollusca; Bivalvia; Mytilida; Mytilidae. The record is from RNAcentral.